AACUGAGGGUAGCGGAGAAAUUCCAAUCGAACUUGGAGAUAGCUGGUUCUCUCCGAAAUAGCUUUAGGGCUAGCCUCAAGUGAUGAUUAUUGGAGGUAGAGCACUGUUUGGACGAGGGGCCCCUCUCGGGUUACCGAAUUCAGACAAACUCCGAAUGCCAAUUAAUUUAACUUGGGAGUCAGAACAUGGGUGAUAAGGUCCGUGUUCGAAAGGGAAACAGCCCAGACCACCAGCU
Molecule: ribosomal RNA, 235 nt
Filed under: Staphylococcus epidermidis
Lineage: Bacteria; Bacillati; Bacillota; Bacilli; Caryophanales; Staphylococcaceae
Description: partial 23S ribosomal RNA
Rfam family: Bacterial large subunit ribosomal RNA
Source: RNAcentral